This 250-nucleotide ribosomal RNA is filed under the name uncultured Thermovirga sp. RNAcentral describes it as "partial 16S ribosomal RNA". It matches the Rfam family "Bacterial small subunit ribosomal RNA", at positions 1131 to 1382 of the family's 1533-position model. Lineage: Bacteria; Thermotogati; Synergistota; Synergistia; Synergistales; Thermovirgaceae. The record is from RNAcentral.
CCGGGCACUCUGGAUGGACUGCCGGCGACAAGCCGGAGGAAGUGGGAUGACGUCAAGUCAUCAUGGCCCUUAUGUCCAGGGCGACACACGUGCUACAAUGGCCGGCACAGCGGGAAGCAGGGGGCGACCUUGAGCGGAUCCCUCAAAGCCGGUCUCAGUUCGGAUUGCAGUCUGCAACUCGACUGCAUGAAGUUGGAAUCGCUAGUAAUCGUGGAUCAGCCAAGCCGCGGUGAAUACGUUCCCGGGCCUU